Molecule: ribosomal RNA, 696 nt
Filed under: uncultured bacterium
Lineage: Bacteria
Description: bacterial SSU rRNA
Rfam family: Bacterial small subunit ribosomal RNA
Source: RNAcentral
UAACGCGUGAGGAACCUGCCUCAAAGAGGGGGACAACAGUUGGAAACGACUGCUAAUACCGCAUAAGCCCACGACCCGGCAUCGGGUUGAGGGAAAAGGAGCAAUCCGCUUUGAGAUGGCCUCGCGUCCGAUUAGCUAGUUGGUGAGGUAAUGGCCCACCAAGGCAACGAUCGGUAGCCGGACUGAGAGGUUGAACGGCCACAUUGGGACUGAGACACGGCCCAGACUCCUACGGGAGGCAGCAGUGGGGAAUAUUGCACAAUGGGGGAAACCCUGAUGCAGCGACGCCGCGUGGAGGAAGAAGGUCUUCGGAUUGUAAACUCCUGUUGUUGAGGAAGAUAAUGACGGUACUCAACAAGGAAGUGACGGCUAACUACGUGCCAGCAGCCGCGGUAAAACGUAGGUCACAAGCGUUGUCCGGAAUUACUGGGUGUAAAGGGAGCGCAGGCGGGAAGACAAGUUGGAAGUGAAAUCUAUGGGCUCAACCCAUAAACUGCUUUCAAAACUGUUUUUCUUGAGUAGUGCAGAGGUAGGCGGAAUUCCCGGUGUAGCGGUGGAAUGCGUAGAUAUCGGGAGGAACACCAGUGGCGAAGGCGGCCUACUGGGCACCAACUGACGCUGAGGCUCGAAAGUGUGGGUAGCAAACAGGAUUAGAUACCCUGGUAGUCCACACCGUAAACGAUGAUUACUAGGUGU